RNAcentral lists this long non-coding RNA (1758 nucleotides) under Homo sapiens (human). RNAcentral describes it as "HSALNT0275572". The record is from RNAcentral. Lineage: Eukaryota; Metazoa; Chordata; Mammalia; Primates; Hominidae.
CCCCCUCCUCUCCCCACCAUCCUCGUCAGGCAGAGGCCAGGGUGCAGGGACCACCGGAGCAAAGGCCCAGGGAAAUGAAUGGGUGUCAUUCUGGUCCUGACCCGAGGCACAGCCAGGAAGGUCCCUGUGGGGAAAAGAAAGAGAUAUCAGACUGUUACUGUGUCUAUGUAGAAAGAAGUAGACGUAAGAGGCUCCAUUUUGUUGUGUAGUAAGAAAAAUUCUUUUGCCUUGAGAUGCCGUUAAUCUGUAACCCUAGCCCCAACCCUGUGCUCACAGAAACAUGUACUGUGUCGACUCAAGGUUUAAUGGAUUCAGGGCUGUGCAGGAUGUGCUUUGUUAAACAAAUGCUUGAAGGCAGCAUGCUUGUUAAGAGUCAUCACCACUCCCUAAUCUCAAGUAAGCAGGGACACAAAACACUGCAGAAGGCCGCAGGGACCUCUGCCUAGGAAAGCCAGGUAUCGUCCAAGGUUUCUCCCCAGGUGACAGUCUGAAAUAUGGCCUCGUGGGAAGGGAAAGACCUGACCGUCCCCCAGCCCGACACCUGUAAAGGGUCUGUGCUGAGGAGGAUUAGUAAAAGAGGAAGGCCUCUUUGCAGUUGAGAUAAGAGGAAGGCAUCUCUCUCCUGAUCGUCCCUGGGCAAAGGAAUGUCUCAGUGUUGAUUGUAUAUUCCAUCUGCUGAGAUAGGAGAAAACUGCCUUAGGGCUGGAGAUGGGACAUGCUGGUGGCAAUACUGCUCUUUAAUGCAUUGAGAUGUUUAUGUAUAUGCACAUCAAAGCAUAGCACCUUUUUCUUAACCUUGUUUAUGACACAGAGACAUUUGUUCACGUGUUUUCCUGCUGACCCUCUCCCCACUAUUACCCUAUUGUCCUGCCACAUCCCCCUCUCUGAGAUGGUAGAGAUAAUGAUCAAUAAAUACUAGGGAACUCAGAGACUGGUGCCAGCGUGGGGCCUCCGUAUGCUGAGCGCAGGUCCCCUGGGCCCACUUUUCUUUCUCUAUACUUUGUCUCUGUGUCUCUUUCUUUUCUCAGUCUCUUGUCCCAGCUGAUGGGAAACACCCACAGGUGUGGAGGGGCAGGCCACCCCUUCAGGUCCCUGAAUGUCCUUCCUCAGGAAAUGAUGGGGGAAGGGGUGAUGAGAAUGAAGGAGACGAUUUAAGUCCCUCACCCCCCGAGGUAGUCCUGGGCUGAGCCCCAUGGGACCUAGAGAACCAGGGUGUACCCCACCAGCGUGUCGGGUCCAGGAAGCCUCGUGGCCAGCUCCCACUUCUCUUCCUGCUGUGCAACCCAGAGCAAGGCCUGCCCCUCCAGCUUCAGUCUUCUCCCCUGCAAAUGGGGCCACGGCCUUUCCUCUCAGGCCAAUAUAAGGAUUGAGGCCGGGUGCAGUGGCUACCCCUGUAAUCCUAGCACUUUGGGAGACUGAGAUGGGGGGACUGCUUGAAGUCAGGAGUUAAGACCAGCCUGGUCAACAUAGUGAGACCCCAUCUCUAUUGGUUUAAAUUUUUUUUAAAAAAAUUAAAUAAAUAAAAUAAGGAUUGAAGAGUGACUUGUACACCAGUUGAGCCCACCUCCAUCUCACCCUUGCAGAGCCCCAGAGACACAGCCCUCCAGAGCUCAGACCCAGUGGGACUUGACUCCACAGGCAUAAAACCCUGUUUGUCUAUGGGCCCUUUGGAAUCACCAGGUUUUCGGGGCUCCUGAAGGAUAGCCCCGACCUGGCCUCACCUGGCCCCUGGCCCCAGUGCCCCUGGUGAUAUCCAGG